Molecule: RNA transcript, 1436 nt
Organism: Drosophila ananassae
Lineage: Eukaryota; Metazoa; Arthropoda; Insecta; Diptera; Drosophilidae
Gene: CkIIalpha
Gene name: casein kinase II subunit alpha
Exons: 3
Source: RefSeq, a predicted model, not a curated record
UUUAAUUCCAGUGUUUCUAACUUUUUGAUAAUAAACGGAUAUGUCGAAACAUAUAGUUCUCAUGAAGUUAUUGUAAGUACUAAUUCCAUGAUGGACAGCGGCUAACCUUCAUAAAAUUAAAAUUGCCAUCUUAACCUCUUGAACUUCACUCUAAAACGCUAAAUGUAUUCCUUGUCGAUUAUGUCCGCAGUUCAUCAGCAAUUUAUUGGAACAAAGCUGUUAUACACCUCACGGUUUCUGAUCAUCACUUUGACUCGAAUGGCUUAUAAUUAUGUCUACUUGCUCUAGCUGUGUUUGCUGCCUUUUUACAUACACUUUUUUUUACGAAACAGCUGGAUUUUUGUGCAUUUAUUAUUCCCUAUAAGAAUUUUACAUUAUUAAAAUUUGACUUAAAUAAACAUCGGUCCUUUGUAUGAACGCUUAUUCACAUUUGGCUACCUAGGCAGUUUUAGGUACAAAUUGGACGUAUGUAUGUACAUGUGCGAGAGCAAGUAUGUAUGUAUAUAUACAUAUACACAUACAUACAUCGAUCGAAUUUAUCGAACGAGUGGUGAAUCUAUUGGAUUUCACCAAUCUUCGUGGGUCCGUAGAAGUAAAUAUGAGUUUAAAUAACUUCACAGAAUUUUAAUUUUCCAACAUUCUUGACCCUAUAAGGUUCAUAUGUAUAUGUAUUCUUGAUCAGGACGAGUUGACAAUAAAUAAAGCAUGUCGGUCUGUCUGUUUCUAUGUAUUUUACGCGGAGGUUAUAUAUAUAAAAUGUUUGUUUCCUUUAAAUUAAGGAAUAAAUGUAAAAAAAUAACACAAAAUAUCGUUUUAGCUCAGCAUUGGCUGGGGCCGAUACGAUAGCUUUUCUUUGUAGUUUGUAGUUGAUUUGUUGAAAUUUGUUUUCUCGGCUCAUUAAAGAUAGAACUUUGAGGUAUAUAAAUUGUUUGAGAUACACCAUGGAGUAAUCCAAAUAAAAGCACCGCUCCUAGCUAUCAGUUUUUAGCCAAACUGCGGUUUGGAAAAGCCUAAAAAAAAUAUGAAAGCAUCUUAAUUUGUAUUUCUGUGACUAAGGCGUGAACUAAUAGAUUUGAAUAAAACAUUUUUAACACAACCUUUUAUUAAGACUGACAACACGUUUCGGAUUUCUGUAUUUGUUUUUUAUAAGAAAAACAAACGGCAAUAGCCACAUAUGUCCUGCACAUGUCCCAUUAAACGCAGCGUAUUACAAGGCGAUCGUUCCAUUCGUUUUUAUGCCCUUGCAGAGGGUAUUAUAAUUUUUGUCAAAAGUGUGCAACGCAGUGAGGGAGAUAUCUCCGGCCCUAUGAAGUAUAUAUAUUCUUGAUCAGGAUCACCUCCUGAGUCGAUAUAAGCAUGUCCGUCUGUCUGUCGGUUUCUACGCAAACUAGUCUCAGUUUUAAAGCUAUCGAGUUGAAACUUUGCAUACAUUCUUU